Molecule: ribosomal RNA, 253 nt
Filed under: uncultured bacterium
Lineage: Bacteria
Description: partial 16S ribosomal RNA
Rfam family: Bacterial small subunit ribosomal RNA
Source: RNAcentral
UACGGAGGGUGCAAGCGUUAUCCGGAUUCACUGGGUUUAAAGGGUGCGUAGGCGGGUAAGUAAGUCCGUGGUGAAAUCUCUGAGCUUAACUCAGAAACUGCCGUGGAUACUAUUUGCCUUGAAUAUUGUGGAGGUGAGCGGAAUAUGUCAUGUAGCGGUGAGAUGCUUAGAUAUGACAUAGAACACCAAUUGCGAAGGCAGCUCACUACACAAUCAUUGACGCUGAGGCACGAAAGCGUGGGGAUCAAACAGG